CACGUCAAAGGCAACCAAGGCAAGGCAAGAAAAGCACGGGCAACACAAACUCGUCUUUGGUGGUUACAUGGAAUUUGCAACACGAAUUGGCUCUAAAUUUAAUAGAGUGCCCACAGAAGAUGACAAGAGAAUUGCCUACCCGCAAGGCUAUUCAGUUGUGGUUGAUCAGCUACGAGAAUUGAGUGGGCAUACACAACAUUCGAGUGCAUCCGUCACACAGGAAAAUAUGCUAAAUGGAAGUUGUUUCAAAUUGAAUACUUUACCAAUAAUCUAAUUGAUGUUGAGUUCCAACAUAAAGUGACUAUAUUUGUUUUAAAUAAGCAAGCAAUGAUAACAAUGUGCAUGUCAUUGGAAUGCAGCCUACUAAUUGUGAAACACCACCUGCACAUGAAGGUCUGGAUGUGCAUCCCAGUAGUGGAGAGCAUGUAGUUGGUGGUGAGCAAGUGGAGCAUGAUCUGGGUACACAACCUCAAGAACGUGAUGUUCCCCACUCAGAGGACCCCCCUUCGCUUUAGUAUCCUCGUCCUCAGUAUAGGACUAGGCAUACAUUGAGAUCAUGAGCAGUUGGCGGAACAUCUGCAGAGGGGGGAAAUGAUGAAGACACCAAUGUUCCACUUAGUCUUUUCAUCGCUUCAAAGAAAAAACAAAGAAAGAAAUGAUUGUAAUCUAACUUAUUUG
Long non-coding RNA from Cryptomeria japonica (Japanese cedar), 678 nucleotides. RefSeq lists it as uncharacterized. The transcript is spliced from 4 exons. NCBI's taxonomy places the organism in Eukaryota, Viridiplantae, Streptophyta, Pinopsida, Cupressales, Cupressaceae. The record is from RefSeq and is a predicted model, not a curated record.